RNAcentral lists this ribosomal RNA (497 nucleotides) under uncultured bacterium. RNAcentral describes it as "partial 16S ribosomal RNA". It matches the Rfam family "Bacterial small subunit ribosomal RNA", at positions 28 to 507 of the family's 1533-position model. The record is from RNAcentral.
GAUGAACGCUGGCGGCGUGCCUAAUACAUGCAAGUCGAGCGAACAGACGAGGAGCUUGCUCCUCUGACGUUAGCGGCGGACGGGUGAGUAACACGUGGAUAACCUACCUAUAAGACUGGGAUAACUCCGGGAAACCGGAGCUAAUACCGGAUAAUAUAUUGAACCGCAUGGUUCAAUAGUGAAAGACGGUUUUGCUGUCACUUAUAGAUGGAUCCGCGCCGCAUUAGCUAGUUGGUAAGGUAACGGCUUACCAAGGCAACGAUGCGUAGCCGACCUGAGAGGGUGAUCGGCCACACUGGAACUGGGACACGGUCCAGACUCCUACGGGGGGCAGCAGUAGGGAAUCUUCCGCAAUGGGCGAAAGCCUGACGGAGCAACGCCGCGUGAGUGAUGAAGGUCUUCGGAUCGUAAAACUCUGUUAUUAGGGAAGAACAAAUGUGUAAGUAACUAUGCACGUCUUGACGGUACCUAAUCAGAAAGCCACGGCUAACUACGUG